Molecule: ribosomal RNA, 393 nt
Filed under: uncultured soil bacterium
Lineage: Bacteria
Description: bacterial SSU rRNA
Rfam family: Bacterial small subunit ribosomal RNA
Source: RNAcentral
AGGAUGAACGCUGGCGGCGUGCUUAACACAUGCAAGUCGAACGAUGAAGGCUGGAGCUUGCUCUGGCUGGAUUAGUGGCGAACGGGUGAGUAACACGUGAGUAACCUGCCCCAGACUCUGGGAUAAGCGCUGGAAACGGCGUCUAAUACCGGAUACGAGCUUCCACCGCAUGGUGAGGAGCGUAGGAAAGAAUUUCGGUCUGGGAUGGACUCGCGGCCUAGUCAGCGUUAGUGGUGAGGUAAUGGCUCGACCGAAGGCGAACGGACGGGUACGCCGGACCUGGACGACGGGGUCGACCGGGCAACGACCGGUGGAACCUGACGACACGGCCAAGUCCGUACCGUACGGGAGGCGUAGCGAGUUAGGGGAAUAGUACGCACGAAGUCGGACGAC